UGGGGAAUAUUGGGCAAUGGGGGGAAACCCCUGACCCAGCAACGCCGCGUGAAGGAAGAAGGCUUUCGGGUUGUAAACUUCUUUUACCAGGGACGAAGGACGUGACGGUACCUGGAGAAAAAGCAACGGCUAACUACGUGCC
Molecule: ribosomal RNA, 142 nt
Filed under: uncultured bacterium
Lineage: Bacteria
Description: partial 16S ribosomal RNA
Rfam family: Bacterial small subunit ribosomal RNA
Source: RNAcentral